This is a non-coding RNA of Trichobilharzia regenti, 46 nucleotides long. The record is from Rfam. NCBI's taxonomy places the organism in Eukaryota, Metazoa, Platyhelminthes, Trematoda, Strigeidida, Schistosomatidae.
GUUUUGAUGAAGAGUCCCAAACUAGGACGAAACAGCUGUCCAGUAC